RNAcentral lists this ribosomal RNA (684 nucleotides) under extreme arid zone bacterium HX-IE74. RNAcentral's name for it is "bacterial SSU rRNA". It matches the Rfam family "Bacterial small subunit ribosomal RNA", at positions 783 to 1472 of the family's 1533-position model. The record is from RNAcentral.
UACCCUGGUAGUCCACGCCCCUAAACGAUGUCUACUAGUUGUCGGGUUUUAAUUAACUUGGUAACGCAGCUAACGCGUGAAGUAGACCGCCUGGGGAGUACGGUCGCAAGAUUAAAACUCAAAGGAAUUGACGGGGACCCGCACAAGCGGUGGAUGAUGUGGAUUAAUUCGAUGCAACGCGAAAAACCUUACCUACCCUUGACAUGGAAGGAAUCCUCGAGAGAUUGAGGAGUGCCCGAAAGGGAACCUUCACACAGGUGCUGCAUGGCUGUCGUCAGCUCGUGUCGUGAGAUGUUGGGUUAAGUCCCGCAACGAGCGCAACCCUUGUCAUUAGUUGCUACGCAAGAGCACUCUAAUGAGACUGCCGGUGACAAACCGGAGGAAGGUGGGGAUGACGUCAAGUCCUCAUGGCCCUUAUGGGUAGGGCUUCACACGUCAUACAAUGGUACAUACAGAGGGCCGCCAACCCGCGAGGGGGAGCUAAUCCCAGAAAGUGUAUCGUAGUCCGGAUUGUAGUCUGCAACUCGACUACAUGAAGUUGGAAUCGCUAGUAAUCGCGGAUCAGCAUGUCGCGGUGAAUACGUUCCCGGGUCUUGUACACACCGCCCGUCACACCAUGGGAGCGGGUUUUACCAGAAGUAGGUAGCUUAACCGCAAGGAGGGCGCUUACCACGGUAGAUUCGU